RNAcentral lists this long non-coding RNA (231 nucleotides) under Setaria italica (foxtail millet). RNAcentral's name for it is "long non-coding RNA (SITA_LNC002262)". Lineage: Eukaryota; Viridiplantae; Streptophyta; Magnoliopsida; Poales; Poaceae. The record is from RNAcentral.
ACAAGGCAACAAUUACGUCUCUCCCUAUAAUAGCUAGUCGGUUCUAACAACGUCUCCUAAACGAACGCGAUUAGUGUACCUGCAAGAAAAACACCAACACACGAACCUUUCGUGCCAGCACCCACGAAAGCGUUCCAAACAUUACCGCUCACUAUAGGAACGGCACCCAUGCGUUUAAGGCUGCAUGGACAGCACUCAACCGUGGAAAUAGGUUCCCUUGGAAUGGAACCA